CUGGAGGUAUCAGAAGUGCGAAUGCUGACAUAAGUAACGAUAAAGCGGGUGAAAAGCCCGCUCGCCGGAAGACCAAGGGUUCCUGUCCAACGUUAAUCGGGGCAGGGUGAGUCGACCCCUAAGGCGAGGCCGAAAGGCGUAGUCGAUGGGAAACAGGUUAAUAUUCCUGUACUUGGUGUUACUGCGAAGGGGGGACGGAGAAGGCUAUGUUGGCCGGGCGACGGUUGUCCCGGUUUAAGCGUGUAGGCUGGUUUUCCAGGCAAAUCCGGAAAAUCAAGGCUGAGGCGUGAUGACGAGGUACUACGGUGCUGAAGCAACAAAUGCCCUGCUUCCAGGAAAAGCCUCUAAGCAUCAGGUAACAUCAAAUCGUACCCCAAACCGACACAGGUGGUCAGGUAGAGAAUACCAAGGCGCUUGAGAGAACUCGGGUGAAGGAACUAGGCAAAAUGGUGCCGUAACUUCGGGAGAAGGCACGC
RNAcentral lists this ribosomal RNA (476 nucleotides) under Escherichia coli. RNAcentral's name for it is "partial 23S ribosomal RNA". It matches the Rfam family "Bacterial large subunit ribosomal RNA", at positions 1273 to 1751 of the family's 2925-position model. Lineage: Bacteria; Pseudomonadati; Pseudomonadota; Gammaproteobacteria; Enterobacterales; Enterobacteriaceae. The record is from RNAcentral.